Sarcophilus harrisii (Tasmanian devil) is the source of this 144-nucleotide small nuclear RNA. Its record names the gene U1. It matches the Rfam family "U1 spliceosomal RNA". From Rfam's summary of the family: U1 is a small nuclear RNA (snRNA) component of the spliceosome (involved in pre-mRNA splicing). Lineage: Eukaryota; Metazoa; Chordata; Mammalia; Dasyuromorphia; Dasyuridae. The record is from Ensembl.
GUAAUUACCUGGCAGAGGUGAUUCCAUGAUCAUGAAAAUGGUUUCUCCAGGGCAUUCUGUAUGGGCUGACCCCUUUGAUUCCCCCAAGUAUGGGAAACUUGACUGCAUAAUUUGUGGUAGUGGGGGAUUCCAUUGGCACUUCAA